UUAAAAGUUAUUACUUCUUUCUUAAAACAAAAGCCCCAAAUCUCUUGAAGGUUCUAAAAACCCUUGUGAUUGUUAAGAACUGUUGCGCCAACAGUGAUGAGAUGAACCAUCUCCAUCCAUUGUGACAGUGGCUGAAACCAUUGGAGAAAUCUGCACUAUAACGCUAGCUUACCUCAAAUUCCACAAUCUUCUUCUCUUGUGUCUACUCCGUUUUGUGUUGAACUUGAAUCUGGAACUUCUAGAUCUGCAACAACAUUCAUCAUUUGGCUCAAUUUGUGAUUGAAAUUAACAUCCAUUGUUAUGUUAUCUUUAUUAUUUGGUUAAAGUUAGUAUUUUUUUCAUUUUUUCAUAUUUUUAUUUAUUAUUUUUUUUCAUGGAAUCCGUCGGAAACGGUCGUAGACGGUCUUGCGACUCUUCUAUCUUCAAGUUCUAUCUUCAAGGGUUAGUUUUUUGCGCUCUACCCACUUCCUCUUAUUUGUCUUAUAUUUUGAUUUUGAUAUUAUUUUGCUUCAGCUUCUCUAUACAAAAUAAAAAAUGAAGUUAGAAUUCUUUUUUAUAACCAAUGAAGUGGAAAAGGAAGGAUAGGUAAAUCAGAGAAAAUAUAUAUCCUCAAUUAUUUUGACUAUUAGGAAAAAAUGAGGUGAUUUAUGUUGAAUGACUUAAGUUGCUUAUCGGUUCUGGUUUCAUGUGGUGUUUGUUUUGCUCUUGUUGUGUCUUAUUUUGGCUAAGAUGAGGCUUUUGUUGUUGUGUGUGAAGCACAAGAUUGGGUUGAGAAAACUGUUAGAGAU
This 788-nucleotide long non-coding RNA is filed under the name Trifolium pratense (red clover). Its description in RNAcentral is "long non-coding RNA (TPRA_LNC007515)". Lineage: Eukaryota; Viridiplantae; Streptophyta; Magnoliopsida; Fabales; Fabaceae. The record is from RNAcentral.